CCUANGGGGGGCUGCAGUAAGGAAUAUUGGGCAAUGGACGAAAGUCUGACCCAGCCAUGCCGCGUGAAGGAUUAAGGUCCUCUGGAUUGUAAACUUCUUUUCUCUGGGGCGAAAACCACCCUUUCUAGGGUAUUUGACAGUACCAGAGGAAUAAGCACCGGCUAACUCCGUGCCAGCAGCCGCGGUAAUACGGAGGGUGCAAGCGUUAUCCGGAUUCACUGGGUUUAAAGGGUGCGUAGGUGGGUCUGUAAGUCAGUGGUGAAAUCCCCGAGCUUAACUUGGGAACUGCCGUUGAUACUAUAGAUCUUGAAUAUCGUGGAGGUAAGCGGAAUAUGUCAUGUAGCGGUGAAAUGCUUAGAUAUGACAUAGAACACCAAUUGCGAAGGCAGCUUACUACCCGAUCAUUGACACUGAGGCACGAAAGCGUGGGGAGCAAACAGGAUUAGAUACCCCGNUANUC
Molecule: ribosomal RNA, 460 nt
Filed under: uncultured bacterium
Lineage: Bacteria
Description: bacterial SSU rRNA
Rfam family: Bacterial small subunit ribosomal RNA
Source: RNAcentral